GAUGAAGAACGUAGUGAAAUGCGAUAAGUAAUGCGAAUUGCAGAAUUCCAGUGAGUCAUCGAAUCUUUGAACGCACAUUGCGCCCUUUGGUAUUCCGAAGGGCAUGCCUGUUCGAGCGUCAUUAUCACCCCUCAAGCCCUCGGCUUGGUGUUGGACGGUUUGGUGGAGGCCCCCUCGGGGGCUCCUGCCCCUCCCAAAGACAAUGACGGCGGCCUCGUUGGACCCCCGGUACACUGAGUUCUUCACGGGACACGUAUCGGACACAUGGGUUUACGGGACACGGUCUGCCUCCCCUCAGGGAGAAUCUUUCUAAGGUUGACCUCGGAUCAGGUAGGGAUACCCGCUGUACUUAAGCAUAUCAAUAAGCGGAGGA
This 373-nucleotide unclassified non-coding RNA is filed under the name soil metagenome. RNAcentral describes it as "partial contains 5.8S ribosomal RNA, internal transcribed spacer 2, and large subunit ribosomal RNA". The stretch from base 1 to 121 matches the Rfam family "5.8S ribosomal RNA", at positions 35 to 154 of the family's 154-position model. The record is from RNAcentral.